Molecule: long non-coding RNA, 164 nt
Organism: Rhagoletis zephyria (snowberry fruit fly)
Lineage: Eukaryota; Metazoa; Arthropoda; Insecta; Diptera; Tephritidae
Source: RefSeq, a predicted model, not a curated record
UAGAACGUUUAGUCGUUGGCCUUUAUGUUGUACAUGCAGUUGUUUCGCUGACUUUCUUACUUGCGUUGGUGAACAUUUGUUGUUAAACAUGUGGUUAGCAAAAUUUGACUCUGGUUUUGCACUCGGUUUCUGUGUCUUUUUGUUAUAGUCUCGUCUGUGUUCGC